This is a non-coding RNA of Salmo salar (Atlantic salmon), 54 nucleotides long. The record is from Rfam. NCBI's taxonomy places the organism in Eukaryota, Metazoa, Chordata, Actinopteri, Salmoniformes, Salmonidae.
ACUCACUACUACUGUAAGUCGCUCUGGAUAAGAGCAUCUGCUAAAUGACCAAAA